AGUCGGUAGAGCAGAGGAUUGAAAAUCCUCGUGUCGGUGGUUCGAUUCCGCCUCCGGGCACCA
RNAcentral lists this transfer RNA (63 nucleotides) under Vibrio cholerae CP1035(8). Its description in RNAcentral is "partial tRNA-OTHER". It matches the Rfam family "tRNA", at positions 14 to 71 of the family's 71-position model. From Rfam's summary of the family: Transfer RNA (tRNA) molecules are approximately 80 nucleotides in length. Their secondary structure includes four short double-helical elements and three loops (D, anti-codon, and T loops). The record is from RNAcentral. Lineage: Bacteria; Pseudomonadati; Pseudomonadota; Gammaproteobacteria; Vibrionales; Vibrionaceae.